AGUGAACGCUGGCGGUAGGCCUAACACAUGCAAGUCGAACGGCAGCACAGUAAGAGUUUGCUCUUACGGGUGGCGAGUGGCGGACGGGUGAGGAAUACAUCGGAAUCUACUUUUUCGUGGGGGAUAACGUAGGGAAACUUACGCUAAUACCGCAUACGACCUACGGGUGAAAGCAGGGGAUCUUCGGACCUUGCGCGAUUGAAUGAGCCGAUGUCGGAUUAGCUAGUUGGCGGGGUAAAGGCCCACCAAGGCGACGAUCCGUAGCUGGUCUGAGAGGAUGAUCAGCCACACUGGAACUGAGACACGGUCCAGACUCCUACGGGAGGCAGCAGUGGGGAAUAUUGGACAAUGGGCGCAAGCCUGAUCCAGCCAUACCGCGUGGGUGAAGAAGGCCCUCGGGUUGUAAAGCCCUUUUGUUGGGAAAGAAAAGCAGCAGGUUAAUACCCCGCUGUUCUGACGGUACCCAAAGAAUAAGCACCGGCUAACUUCGUG
Molecule: ribosomal RNA, 492 nt
Filed under: uncultured bacterium
Lineage: Bacteria
Description: partial 16S ribosomal RNA
Rfam family: Bacterial small subunit ribosomal RNA
Source: RNAcentral